CUCCUACGGGAGGCAGCAGUAAGGAAUAUUGGUCAAUGGACGCAAGUCUGAACCAGCCAUGCCGCGUGGAGGAUGAAGGUCCUCUGGAUUGUAAACUUCUUUUAUCUGGGAAGAAAUGUGCGCUUUCUAGCGUAUUUGACGGUACCAGAUGAAUAAGCACCGGCUAACUCCGUGCCAGCAGCCACGGUAAA
Molecule: ribosomal RNA, 191 nt
Filed under: uncultured Chitinophaga sp.
Lineage: Bacteria; Pseudomonadati; Bacteroidota; Chitinophagia; Chitinophagales; Chitinophagaceae
Description: partial 16S ribosomal RNA
Rfam family: Bacterial small subunit ribosomal RNA
Source: RNAcentral